Molecule: ribosomal RNA, 405 nt
Filed under: uncultured bacterium
Lineage: Bacteria
Description: bacterial SSU rRNA
Rfam family: Bacterial small subunit ribosomal RNA
Source: RNAcentral
UGAGGAAUCUUGGGCAAUGGGGGCAACCCUGACCCAGCUAUGCCGCGUGCGGGAGGACGCCCUUCGGGGUGUAAACCGCUUUUGAGGGGGAGGAGCAAGGACAGUACCCCUCGAACAAGUCACGGCUAACUACGUGCCAGCAGCCGCGGUAAUACGUAGGUGGCGAACGUUAUCCGGAAUCACUGGGCGUAAAGGGUCCGUAGGCGGAACGACAAGUCGGACGUGACAAGGCGCGGCUCACCCGCGCGAGGUCGUUCGAAACUGUCGCUCUAGAAUCGGUGCGAGGUCGGUGGAAUUCCCGGUGUAGUGGUGGAAUGCGUAGAGAUCGGGAAGAACCUCAACGGCGCAGGCAGCCGGCUAGUGCCAGAUUGACGCUGAGGGACGAAAGCGUGGGGAGCGAACAGG